RNAcentral lists this ribosomal RNA (492 nucleotides) under uncultured bacterium. RNAcentral's name for it is "partial 16S ribosomal RNA". It matches the Rfam family "Bacterial small subunit ribosomal RNA", at positions 29 to 507 of the family's 1533-position model. The record is from RNAcentral.
AGUGAACGCUGGCGGUAGGCCUAACACAUGCAAGUCGAACGGCAGCACAGUAAGAGCUUGCUCUUACGGGUGGCGAGUGGCGGACGGGUGAGGAAUACAUCGGAAUCUACUUUUUCGUGGGGGAUAACGUAGGGAAACUUACGCUAAUACCGCAUACGACCUACGGGUGAAACCAGGGGAUCUUCGGACCUUGCGCGAUUGAAUGAGCCGAUGUCGGAUUAGCUAGUUGGCGGGGUAAAGGCCCACCAAGGCGACGAUCCGUAGCUGGUCUGAGAGGAUGAUCAGCCCCAAUGGAACUUGGACACCGUCCAGACUCCUACGGGAGGGAACAGGGGGGAAUAUUGGACAAAGGGGGCAAGCCUGAUCCCACCCUACCGCGUGGGGGAAAAAAGCCUUCGGGGUGUAAAACCCUUUUUUUGGGAAAAAAAAACAGCAGGUUAAUACCCCGCUGUUUUGACGGUACCCAAAGAAAAAACACCGGCUAACUUCGUG